Molecule: long non-coding RNA, 414 nt
Filed under: Equus caballus (horse)
Lineage: Eukaryota; Metazoa; Chordata; Mammalia; Perissodactyla; Equidae
Description: lncRNA (ENSECAG00000053867.1)
Source: RNAcentral
GUGGAUGGUUGGAUGUCAGGAGCAGAUGAUGUCUGUGAUUGACUGGGGGUAACUGAAAUUUUGGAAAGCGAAACUGCAGUUGCAGGCAAAUGUCAGACAUCAGCAUGCUGAACAGAGCUGGACUUCCAAGUCAUUCACUCAUGUGACUGCUCAUUGUGGCUGGCCGGUGGCUGAGAGCUCAUAUUUUUAUAACAUCUGCAAGCUACUUUUAACUGCUCUGCUGUCCCAACCCAGUGUCCCAGAUGCAGAAUGCAUGUGUCUUUCUGGAAGCACACUCAGAGGCCAUCUCAAACAUGCAGAAGGAUUUAGAAACAUUCAGAACCAUCAUCUCAGACUUCAAAUUUGGAAUUUGAUAAACCUCCCCAUGAUGGCCAUUUAUGAUAUUUCUCGUCAAAAUUCCUUCUUCUGGGAAAU